This 452-nucleotide ribosomal RNA is filed under the name uncultured organism. Its description in RNAcentral is "partial 16S ribosomal RNA". It matches the Rfam family "Bacterial small subunit ribosomal RNA", at positions 332 to 800 of the family's 1533-position model. The record is from RNAcentral.
UACACUCCUACGGGAGGCAGCAGUGGGGAAUAUUGGACAAUGGGCGCAAGCCUGAUCCAGCCAUGCCGCGUGAGUGAUGAAGGCCCUAGGGUUGUAAAGCUCUUUCACCGGUGAAGAUAAUGACGGUAACCGGAGAAGAAGCCCCGGCUAACUUCGUGCCAGCAGCCGCGGUAAUACGAAGGGGGCUAGCGUUGUUCGGAUUUACUGGGCGUAAAGCGCACGUAGGCGGACUAUUAAGUCAGGGGUGAAAUCCCGGGGCUCAACCCCGGAACUGCCUUUGAUACUGGUAGUCUUGAGUUCGAGAGAGGUGAGUGGAAUUCCGAGUGUAGAGGUGAAAUUCGUAGAUAUUCGGAGGAACACCAGUGGCGAAGGCGGCUCACUGGCUCGAUACUGACGCUGAGGUGCGAAAGCGUGGGGAGCAAACAGGAUUAGAAACCCUAGUAGUCCCAUGA